RNAcentral lists this ribosomal RNA (322 nucleotides) under uncultured eukaryote. RNAcentral describes it as "partial 18S ribosomal RNA". It matches the Rfam family "Eukaryotic small subunit ribosomal RNA", at positions 1470 to 1796 of the family's 1831-position model. The record is from RNAcentral.
CCCUUAGAUGUUCUGGGCCGCACGCGUGCUACACUGAGUGGAUCAGCGGGUCAGGUUACGCGAGAGCGUUUCCUAAUCUUCAAAUCCGCUCGUGAUGGGGAUUGACGGUUGCAAUUUUCCGUCAUGAACGAGGAAUACCUUGUAAGCGCGGGUCAUCAUCCCGCGCUGAAUACGUCCCUGCCCUUUGUACACACCGCCCGUCGCUCCUACCGAUCGAGUGGUCCGGUGAGGCUUUGGGAUCUAAGCGAAAAGAGCGCUUCGCUCCUUUUGCUGGGAGAACUCAGUCGAACCUUAUCAUUUAGAGGAAGGAGAAGUCGUAACA